GCCUAAGGCGAGGACGAGAGUCGUAGCCGAUGGACAACAGGUGGAGAUUCCUGUACUGCGGUAUGACAGAACUGUGGGGACACGUAAGGAAAGCGGAAGCCGGGAAUGGAGAGCCCGGUGCAAGCGGGGUACCAGUCACUUUGGCAAAUCCGGGUGGCAAUGGGAAGCCGUGAUGCGGAGCGAAAUAAAGUAGUGAAGUCCGUGAGCCAUGCGUCAAGAAAAGCCGCUAUUGUUUGUACCGUACCCGUACCGUAAACCGACACAGGUGGAUGAGGAGAGAAUCCUAAGGCCGGCGGAAGAAGCAUUGUCAAGGAACUCGGCAAAAUGGCCCCGUAACUUAGGGAUAAGGGGUGCCUCAGAAAUGAGGCCGCAGAGAAUAGGCUCAAGCAACUGUUUAGCAAAAACACAGGUCUAUGCGAAACCGAAAGGUGAGGUAUAUGGGCUGACGCCUGCCCGGUGCCGGAAGGUUAAGAGGAGAGGUUUGCGCAAGCGAAGCUUUGAAUUUAAGCCCCAGUAAACGGCGGCCGUAACUAUAACGGUCCUAAGGUAGCGAAAUUCCUUGUCGGGUAAGUUCCGACCCGCACGAAAGGCGUAAUGAUUUGAGCGCUGUCUCGACAAUGCAUCCGGUGAAAUUGAAGUACCAGUGAAGAUGCUGGUUACCUGCGCCAGGACGGAAAGACCCCAUGGAGCUUUACUCCAGUUUGGUACUGGGACUCGGUAUUGCAUGUACAGGAUAGGUGGGAGGCUAGGAGAUAGUAACGCCAGUUAUUAUGGAGCCGCUGUUGGGAUACCACCCUUGCAGUAUUGGGUUUCUAACCAGCCGCCGUGACCCGGCGGUGGGACAAUGCCAGACGGGGAGUUUGACUGGGGCGGUCGCCUCCGAAAGGGUAUCGGAGGCGCCCAAAGGUCCCCUCAGAAUGGACGGAAACCAUUCGAAGAGUGCAAAGGCAGAAGGGAGCUUGACUGCGACACCGACGGGUGGAGCAGGUACGAAAGUAGGGCUUAGUGAUCCGGUGGUAUUAAGUGGGAAUGCCAUCGCUCAACGGAUAAAAGCUACCCUGGGAUAACAGGCUUAUCACUCCCAAGAGUUCACAUCGACGGAGUGGUUUGGCACCUCGAUGUCGGCUCAUCGCAUCCUGGGGCUGUAGUAGGUCCCAAGGGUUGGGCUGUUCGCCCAUUAAAGCGGUACGCGAGCUGGGUUCAGAACGUCGUGAGACAGUUCGGUCCCUAUCCGGCGUGGGCGUAGGAUAUCUGAGAGGAGCUGUCCUUAGUACGAGAGGACCGGGAUGGACGGGCCGCUGGUGCAUCGGUUAGACUGCCAGGUCUACGGCCGAGUAGCCAAGCCCGGAAGGGAUAAACGCUGAAGGCAUCUAAGCGUGAAGCCCCCCUUAAGAUGAGAUAUCCCAUUCGAAAGAAGUAAACCCCCUUGAAGACGACGAGGUAGAUAGGGCAGAGGUGGAAGUGUGGCAACACAUGGAGCUGACUGUUACUAAUCGGGUGAGGGCUUGAUC
Molecule: ribosomal RNA, 1511 nt
Filed under: metagenome
Description: bacterial LSU rRNA
Rfam family: Bacterial large subunit ribosomal RNA
Source: RNAcentral